RNAcentral lists this ribosomal RNA (253 nucleotides) under uncultured bacterium. Its description in RNAcentral is "partial 16S ribosomal RNA". It matches the Rfam family "Bacterial small subunit ribosomal RNA", at positions 524 to 776 of the family's 1533-position model. The record is from RNAcentral.
UACAGAAGUCUCAAGCGUUGUUCGGAUUCACUGGGCGUAAAGGGUGCGCAGGCGGCCAUGUGUGUGAGGCGUGAAAGCCCGGGGCUUAACCCCGGAAUUGCACCUCAAACUACAUGGCUAGAGCAUUGGAGAGGGUAGCAGAAUUCAUGGUGUAGCAGUGAAAUGCGUAGAUAUCAUGAGGAAUACCAGAGGCGAAGGCGGCUACCUGGACAAUUGCUGACGCUCAGGCACGAAAGCGUGGGGAGCAAAAGGG